Molecule: ribosomal RNA, 468 nt
Filed under: uncultured bacterium
Lineage: Bacteria
Description: partial 16S ribosomal RNA
Rfam family: Bacterial small subunit ribosomal RNA
Source: RNAcentral
GACGAACGCUGGCGGCGUGCUUAACACAUGCAAGUCGAACGGAAAGGCCCUGCUUUUGUGGGGUGCUCGAGUGGCGAACGGGUGAGUAACACGUGAGUAACCUGCCCUUGGCUUUGGGAUAACUUCAGGAAACUGGGGCUAAUACCGGAUAGGAGCUCCUGCUGCAUGGUGGGGGUUGGAAAGUUUCGGCGGUUGGGGAUGGACUCGCGGCUUAUCAGCUUGUUGGUGGGGUAGUGGCUUACCAAGGCUUUGACGGGUAGCCGGCCUGAGAGGGUGACCGGCCACAUUGGGACUGAGAUACGGCCCAGACUCCUACGGGAGGCAGCAGUGGGGAAUAUUGCACAAUGGGCGGAAGCCUGGUGCAGCAACGCCGCGUGCGGGAUGACGGCCUUCGGGUUGUAAACCGCUUUCGCCUGUGACGAAGCGUGAGUGACGGUAAUGGGUAAAGAAGCACCGGCUAACUACGUG